RNAcentral lists this ribosomal RNA (199 nucleotides) under uncultured bacterium. RNAcentral describes it as "partial 16S ribosomal RNA". It matches the Rfam family "Bacterial small subunit ribosomal RNA", at positions 1303 to 1500 of the family's 1533-position model. The record is from RNAcentral.
GGCUGAAAUUCGCCUUCAUGAAGCCGGAAUUGCUAGUAAUGGCAGGUCAGCAUACUGCCGUGAAUACGUUCCCGGGCCCUUGUACACACCGCCCGUCACACCAUGAGAGUCGAUAACACCCGAAGCCUGUGAGCUAACCUUAGGGAGGCAGCAGUCGAAGGUGGGGUUGAUGAUUAGGGUGAAGUCGUAACAAGGUAUC